CCUACGGGAGGCAGCAGUGGGGAAUAUUGCGCAAUGGGCGAAAGCCUGACGCAGCCACGCCGCGUGUGUGAAGAAGGCCUUCGGGUUGUAAAGCACUUUCAGUGGGGAGGAAAAGCUGGUGGCUAAUAUCCAUCGGCCGUGACGCUACCCACAGAAGAAGCACCGGCUAAUUCCGUGCCAGCAGCCGCGGUAAUACGGAAGGUGCGAGCGUUAAUCGGAAUUACUGGGCGUAAAGCGCACGUAGGUGGCUUGGUAAGUCGGAUGUGAAAGCCCCGGGCUCAACCUGGGAACUGCAUUCGAUACUGCCGAGCUAGAGUACGAAAGAGGGGGGUGGAAUUCCAGGUGUAGCGGUGAAAUGCGUAGAGAUCUGGAGGAACACCAGUGGCGAAGGCGGCCCCCUGGCUCGAUACUGACGCUGAGGUGCGAAAGCGUGGGGAGCAAACAGGAUUAGAUACCCUAGUAGUC
Molecule: ribosomal RNA, 465 nt
Filed under: uncultured Gammaproteobacteria bacterium
Lineage: Bacteria; Pseudomonadati; Pseudomonadota; Gammaproteobacteria
Description: bacterial SSU rRNA
Rfam family: Bacterial small subunit ribosomal RNA
Source: RNAcentral